UGUUAUAAAACUGACGAUCAUGUUCUGAAAUGCAUGAACUUGUAGAAUCAUCGACUAUCGUCCACAGAUCUCAAAGUAGCACGGUAGGAAACUUUAGGGGUCAAUGUUACCAUGUAUACCAUCCGGUCUUGCCUGUGUCCAACCGGUCUCUCAGCAAGAUGACCAAGAAAGAAACCACUCCUCACCGACAAUAUAAGAAAUAUGAGCCUCUACUGGGCCAUGUUAACUGGAGUGAAGCAAUGAGGAGCAAAGUAAUAUUUUCAAACGAAUCAAAGUUCAUCCUGCACGAGUCUGAUGGGAAGCACUUUGUAUAACGUCAAUGUGUUUAAAUGCAACUGUGAAGCACCCGCAGGGUCAGAUGCUAUGGGGAUGCAUCUCAGGUCAGAGUGUAGGACACCUACGUUUUGUGAGAGACACUGUCAAUGCCAACAAGUACAUCGAGAUCCUCGAGUCCCUCUUAAAGCCAGCUAAUUGGGAUCACUUCGGUGGAGCUGACCAGUACACAUUCCAGGAUGACUCUGCUCCAUGCCACAGGGCUAAAAAGAUGAAGGACUAUCUUUGAAGGGAGGUCUCAACCCUGUCGAAAACUGCUAGAAGAUAACGGGUAGCCAAAUACAAGAGUAAAAACUGAAAAGUUCCUUGGAACUGCUGGAAGCCCUAAUUCUCAUGUGACAUCAUAAACUCUCUCCUGCCUACAUUCAGUCUUUCGUACACUCUACGUCACGGCGAUGUCAAGUAGUUAUCAACGCAAGAGACCCAACCAAAUAUUAAAACAAAAAACAAACAAACAAAAAAAAAAGACCGUAACCACUUUUUGUCAAUUACACUAGUGACGUUAUCUAUAAAUGUAAAUUUUCUUACCCAGAUUACAUUUUUGUAUUUGUCACGUAUUUGUUGAUCAACUGCUGUAAUACGUUUAUCACAGUUGGUUUGUUAAUAAAUGUGCAUACAUGUGUUUGGGUGACUGAAAUGUGAGUAAGCU
Long non-coding RNA from Limulus polyphemus (Atlantic horseshoe crab), 982 nucleotides. RefSeq lists it as uncharacterized. The record is from RefSeq and is a predicted model, not a curated record. The transcript is spliced from 3 exons. Lineage: Eukaryota; Metazoa; Arthropoda; Merostomata; Xiphosura; Limulidae.